This 861-nucleotide ribosomal RNA is filed under the name uncultured Alphaproteobacteria bacterium. Its description in RNAcentral is "bacterial SSU rRNA". It matches the Rfam family "Bacterial small subunit ribosomal RNA", at positions 13 to 909 of the family's 1533-position model. The record is from RNAcentral. Lineage: Bacteria; Pseudomonadati; Pseudomonadota; Alphaproteobacteria.
UUGAUCAUGGCUCAGAACGAACGCUGGCGGCAGGCUUAACACAUGCAAGUCGAACGUGAAGCAGGAGCUUGCUCCUGUGGAAAGUGGCAGACGGGGGAGUAACGCGUGGGAAUUUACCCAGUGGUUCGGAAUAACGCAUGGAAACGUGUGCUAAUACCGGAUACGCCCUCCGGGGGAAAGAUUCAUCGCCAUUGGAUGAGCCCGCGUCGGAUUAGCUAGUUGGGGAGGUAAUGGCUCACCAAGGCGACGAUCCGUAGCUGGUCUGAGAGGAUGAUCAGCCACACUGGGACUGAGACACGGCCCAGACUCCUACGGGAGGCAGCAGUGGGGAAUAUUGCGCAAUGGGGGAAACCCUGACGCAGCCAUGCCGCGUGAGUGAAGAAGGCCUUAGGGUUUUAAAACUCUUUCAGUGGGGAAGAUAAUGACGGUAGCCACAGAAGAAGCCCCGGCCAACUCCGUGCCAGCAGCCGCGGUAAUACGGAGGGGGCUAGCGUUUUUCGGAAUUACUGGGCGUAAAGCGCGCGUAGGCGGGCUGGUUAGUUGGGGGGGAAGUCCCAGGGCUCAACCCUGGAACUGCCCUCAAUACUGCCAGUCUUGAGUUCGAGAGAGGUAAGCGGAAUUCCUAGUGUAGAGGGGAAAUUCGUAGAUAUUAGGAAGAACACCAGUGGCGAAGGCGGCUUACUGGCUCGAUACUGACGCUGAGGCGCGAAAGCGUGGGGAGCAAACAGGAUUAGAUACCCUGGUAGUCCACGCCGUAAACGAUGGGUGCUAGUUUUCAGGCAGCAUGCUGUUUGGGGACGCAGCUAACGCGUUAAGCACCCCGCCUGGGGACUACGGUCGCAAGACUAAAACUCAAAAAAA